GCAUAUCAAUAAGCGGAGGAAAAGAAAAUAACAAUGAUUCCCCUAGUAACUGCGAGUGAAGAGGGACAAGCUCAAAUUUUAAAUCUGUCGGGUUCUACCUGACCGAGUUGUAAUUUGAAGAGGCGUUUUCUGUGUUUCUGAUCAGUCCAAGUCCUUUGGGAUAAGGCAUCACGGAGGGUGAGAAUCCCGUUCGAUUGAUCAGAUUCGCUUUAUGAUACGUCAUCAAAGAGUCAAGUUGUUUGGGAUUGCAGCUUAAAAUGGGAGGUAAAUUUCUCCCAAGGCUAAAUAACGGCGAGAGACCGAUAGCGAACAAGUACCGUGAGGGAAAGAUGAAAAGAACUUUGAAAAGAGAGUUAAAUAGUACGUGAAAUUGUUGAAAGGGAAACGAUUGAAGCCAGUCGUACCUGCGGGUAAUCAGCCUUUUGGGCAUGAUUCUGUGGAGCGUGAGGAGUUAAACGCCUUCAUGCCUGCAUAUUCGUGUACUUUGGGUGUACUUGCCUGUGUGGUUAGUUAACAUCAAUUUUGGUUAUCAUAAAAUGGCUGGAGGAAUGUAGCUUCGAUUUCGAUUGAAGUGUUAUAGCCUUCGGCAGAUGUGAUGAUCGGGAUUGAGGAUUGCAACGGAUACCCUUCGGGGCUACCUGUCUGAUCUCUGAUCGUUGCUCUGGUGCCGAAAGCGUGCUUACGGUUAUCAAAGUCGAUGGUUAAUAGGUUAGAACGGGUUAAAUUCGUUAAGGAUGUUGACGUA
Molecule: ribosomal RNA, 745 nt
Filed under: uncultured fungus
Lineage: Eukaryota; Fungi
Description: eukaryotic LSU rRNA
Rfam family: Eukaryotic large subunit ribosomal RNA
Source: RNAcentral